This is a non-coding RNA of Pelobates cultripes (western spadefoot toad), 365 nucleotides long. The record is from the annotation of a GenBank genome assembly. NCBI's taxonomy places the organism in Eukaryota, Metazoa, Chordata, Amphibia, Anura, Pelobatidae.
CUCAAUUCACUGUCAUUUAGGAGUUAAAUCACUUUGUUUCUGUUUAUGCAGCCCUAGCCACACCUCCCCUGGCUAUGAUUGACAGAGCCUGCAUGAAAAAAAAAACUGGUUUCACUUUCAAACAGAUGUAAUUUACCUUAAAUAAUUGUAUCUCAAUCUCUAAAUCGAACUUUAAUCACAUACAGGAGGCUCUUGCAGGGUCUAGCAAGCUAUUAACAUAGCAGGGGAUAAGAAAAUCUUAAUUAAACAGAACUUGCAACAAAGAAAGCCUAAAUAGGGCUCUCUUUACAGGAAGUGUUUAUGGAAGGCUGUGCAAGUCACAUGCAGGGAGGUGUUACUAGGGUUCAUAAACAAAGGGAUUUAAC